GGAGAGGUGACCGAGUGGCCGAAGGUACCCGCUUGCUAAGCGGGCGUACGCUCAAAAGGUGUACCGCGGGUUCGAAUCCCGCCCUCUCCGCCA
Molecule: transfer RNA, 93 nt
Filed under: Sandaracinaceae bacterium
Lineage: Bacteria; Pseudomonadati; Myxococcota; Polyangiales; Sandaracinaceae
Description: tRNA-Ser
Rfam family: tRNA
About the family: Transfer RNA (tRNA) molecules are approximately 80 nucleotides in length. Their secondary structure includes four short double-helical elements and three loops (D, anti-codon, and T loops).
Source: RNAcentral